CCUGGCUCAGAUUGAACGCUGGCGGCAUGCUUUACACAUGCAAGUCGAACGGUAACAGGGAGCUUGCUCCGCUGACGAGUGGCGAACGGGUGAGUAAUGCAUCGGAACGUACCCAGUCGUGGGGGAUAACGUAGCGAAAGUUACGCUAAUACCGCAUACGUCCUGAGGGGAGAAAGCGGGGGACCGUAAGGCCUCGCGCGAUUGGAGCGGGCCGAUGUCGGAUUAGCUAGUUGGUAGGGUAAAGGCCUACCAAGGCGACGAUCCGUAGCGGGUCUGAGAGGAUGAUCCGCCACACUGGGACUGAGACACGGCCCAGACUCCUACGGGAGGCAGCAGUGGGGAAUUUUGGACAAUGGGCGAAAGCCUGAUCCAGCCAUGCCGCGUGAGUGAAGAAGGCCUGGUUGUAAGU
This 409-nucleotide ribosomal RNA is filed under the name uncultured bacterium. RNAcentral describes it as "bacterial SSU rRNA". It matches the Rfam family "Bacterial small subunit ribosomal RNA", at positions 18 to 430 of the family's 1533-position model. The record is from RNAcentral.